CCAGACUCCUACGGGAGGCAGCAGUGGGGAAUAUUGCACAAUGGGGGGAACCCUGAUGCAGCGACGCCGCGUGAGUGAAGAAGUAUUUCGGUAUGUAAAGCUCUAUCAGCAGGGAAGAAGAUGACGGUACCUGACUAAGAAGCCCCGGCUAACUACGUGCCAGCAGCCGCGGUAAUACGUAGGGAGCAAGCGUUGUCCGGAUUUACUGGGUGUAAAGGGUGCGUAGGCGGCCUUGCAAGUCAGAAGUGAAAUCCAUGGGCUUAACCCGUGAACUGCUUUUGAAACUGUAGGGCUUGAGUGAAGUAGAGGCAGGCGGAAUUCCCGGUGUAGCGGUGAAAUGCGUAGAGAUCGGGAGGAACACCAGUGGCGAAGGCGGCUUACUGGACUGUAACUGACGUUGAGGCUCGAAAGCGUGGGGAGCAAACAGGAUUAGAUACCCUGGUAC
RNAcentral lists this ribosomal RNA (445 nucleotides) under uncultured bacterium. Its description in RNAcentral is "bacterial SSU rRNA". It matches the Rfam family "Bacterial small subunit ribosomal RNA", at positions 331 to 793 of the family's 1533-position model. The record is from RNAcentral.